Molecule: long non-coding RNA, 206 nt
Organism: Bradysia coprophila
Lineage: Eukaryota; Metazoa; Arthropoda; Insecta; Diptera; Sciaridae
Source: RefSeq, a predicted model, not a curated record
GAAAAAUUUAAUUCAAAAUUUAUCCUCAGGUACGUACAGUCGGAAAAAUAAAGAUUUCGGGAUUUUUAGAGAUAUCAUCGUUUCUCUAAUUCUCUCAAUUGACAUUUGAAAUAACAUGCGAAAUGAGAGAAUAUAGAAAAACGAUGAAAACGAUGAUGUCUCUAAAAAUCCGUAAAUCUAUAUUUCUCCGACUGUACCAAUAGUGU